CUUCAGGUGUCCCAUGCACGGCAUGGGGUUAAACGGGAAGCCGGUGCGUCAUCCCAGAUGAUCAGUCCGGCGCUGCCCCCGCAACGGUAAGCGAGCGAAGCAUUCGAAGGACCACUGUGCCUCGGCAUGGGAAGGUGAAUGGCUUCAUGACCCUCGCGAGCCCGGAGACCGGCCUGAAGGU
This 181-nucleotide non-coding RNA is filed under the name uncultured Pseudomonas sp. Lineage: Bacteria; Pseudomonadati; Pseudomonadota; Gammaproteobacteria; Pseudomonadales; Pseudomonadaceae. The record is from RNAcentral.